This 6651-nucleotide long non-coding RNA is filed under the name Sus scrofa (pig). RNAcentral describes it as "lncRNA (ENSSSCG00030003347.1)". The record is from RNAcentral. Lineage: Eukaryota; Metazoa; Chordata; Mammalia; Artiodactyla; Suidae.
AUUUCUUUGGGCUGCUCCUGCGGCAUAGGGAGGUUCCCAGGCUAGGGGUCGAAUCAGAGCUAUAGCCACCGGCCUACGCCAGAGCCACAGCAACACGGGAUCCGAGCUGCAUCUGCAACUACACCACAGCUCACGGCAACGCUGGAUCCUUAACCCACUGAGCAAGGGCAGGGACCGAACCCGCAACCUCAUGGUUCCUAGUCGGAUUCAUUAACCACUGCGCCAUGACGGGAACUCCCAUUCAUUUUUUUCCCUUCCAGAUAAAGAGGCUUCUUGGCCUUUGUCAUUAAGCCUUUGGCCUUGACACAUAUCAGAGUAGAAAUAAUAGUUAUCACUGCAAACUUUUGAGGCAAUGAAAGAGAGUCUGGCCAUCCAGGAGACGGGGGCUGCAGGUGGACACCACCCUGGCCUUCUGCUCAGCUGCCCCUUCUCUGCUUCCCAGGCUUCCUUUUCUUUCUUUUUCUUUUUUUUUUGUGGAGAGGGCAUGUUCAGAAGUAUUACUCUGCGUGUGUGUGUGUGUGUGUGUAUGUGCGCUGGUGCAUGGGCUGUAGGGCAGGACAGAGGUGAGUCAGCAUCUCCUCCCUGCCCCUGAGGCCGUCAGCUCCUCCUCGCCCUGGAUCCUGCAUCAGCAUUGCCUUGUGAUGCUCGAGGCUCUGGGUCCACCCUCUACCCCCGCACCCUGAUUCUGGGGUGGCCCUGAGAACCUAGAUUGCUGGCAGUUUCCCAGACGGUGCCCCAGCACAGUCAGAGCUUGGCUCUGUGUACAGACCUACUUACUGCCUGAGCUGUAAGGCGUCAGCAGCUAGCACCUCGUCUGCAAGAGACACAGCACGACUGCUAGGAUUUGUGUCUGCUUCCCAGGGCGGCCGGAACAAGGUACUGCAAACUGAGGGGCGUAAAUGGUAAGAAUCCGCUUCCUUGCAGCUCUGGAGGCCAGAAGUCUGAGAUAAGGGUCUGCUGGGCCGUGCCCCUCCCCGCCGCCGGUUCUUGCCAGAGAUGGUUGGUGUGGACUGGCUCGCAGCUGUCUCGCCCCGCGUGGCCUUGUCUUCUGUAAGGACACAAGUUACGGGACAGAGGCCCCCCUCCACGUGACUUCAUCUUGACUGCAUGGCAUCUGCAAAGACCUGUUUCCAAACCAAGCUGCAUGCCCAGGUCCUAGAGGUCAGGACUGGCUCAGGCAUUUGGGCGGGCAGAGGACACAAUGUAACCACAACACGCUUCCUGUUCGUGAAUCAAGGAACAUAGAUAUGAGUAGUUCGAGUUCCCGUAGGGGCUCAGCAGGUUGAGGACGCGAUGUUGCCUCUGUGAAGAUGCAGGUUGGAUCCCUGGCCUCUCUAGGUGGGCGAGCUGUGGUGUAGGCUGCAGAAGGGGCUCAGAUCCAGUGUGGCCGUGGCUGUGGUGUAGGUCUCAGCUGCUGUUCCGAUUUGACCCCUCGCCUGGAACUUCCAUAUGCCACAGGUGCAGCCAUUGAAAAAAAAAAAGAAAGAAAGGUAAAAAAAAUGAGUAUUUCAUGUCUUCCACACUUCCUCCCUUCUUCACUCCCCACCCCCACCUUAGAGCAUCACGGAUGUAGAUGAGCCAUAAGACUAACCGAAGUACCAGGUCUUAUCUGCUUUCUUCCUGUGGUCACUGGGGUCUUGAUAGAACCCACCUUUGGGGAGUUCCUGCCUUGGCUCAGAGGAAACGAAUCUGACUAGGAUCCAUGAGGAUGUAUGUUCAAUACCUGGCCUCGCUCAGUGGGUCAAGGAUGGUGCAUGGCUAUGAUCUCUGGUAUAGGUUGCAGAUGGGGCUCAGAUCCUGCAUUGCUCUGGCUGUAGUGUAGGCUGGCAGCUAUAGUUCUGAUUCAACCCCUAGCCUGGGAAGCUCCAUAUGCCACGGGUGCAGCCUUAAAAAAAGCAAAAAAAUUAAAAAAUUAAAAAAAAUAAAAAGAACCCACCUUUGGGCAAGACUGCAUCCUCUGGUGAAAUGCCAUUGCCUCUUCAUCUGAGAACCAUCACGUCAGGGCAGAUAACCAGUUCUGAAGACAACAACCCCAUGUACCAUGGGGACGUGAUACCCAGACAUGCUGGACUUUUAUUACAAACCAAAGAGAUGGUUUUAAAAGCCAUUUUAGGGCUUCCAGACGACAUCUGAUAAUGACACCAUCUCAAUAUGUAUAAACUAAAUGGUUCUACUUCGGGUGAUAACACAGUUAUGAUUUUCUGAAAAAGUACAGGAUAUGCUGCUUUUGUUUUACAAUGAAGCUCCAUAACCUGGGUACCAGUUGAAGUUCCAGACAAAGACAGAUGAUAGGGAGAGCGAGAGAGAGGGAGAGAGAGAGGAGAAUAUUUUUACUCUUCUGUAUGAUGAUUGUCUGAUUGCAACAAUUCUACUUUUUUAAUUGAAAUAUAGUUGAUUUACAAUCUUGUGUUCAUUUCAGGUGUACAGCAAAUGGAUUCAGUUAAGCAUAUUUUCCCUUAUAGGUUAUUACAAAAUAUUAAGUAUUGUUCCCUGCACUAUACAGUAAGUCUUUGUUGGUUAUCUGUUUUAGAUAUAGUAGUUUGCAUCCGUUAAUCCUAACUUCUUAAUUUAUCCCUCCCUUAGCCCUUCACCGUCUAGUAACCAUAAGUUUUUUUGGCAAGUCUGCGGGUCUAUUUCUGUUUUGCAUAUAAGUUCAUUGGUAUCAUUUUUUUAUUCCACGUAUAAGUAAUAUCAUGUGGUGUUUGUCUUUCUCUUUCUGGCUUACUUCACUCAGUAGGAUAAUCUCCGGGUCCAUCCACGUUGCUCCAAAUGGCAUUAUUUCGUUCCUUUAUGGCUGAGUAAUAUUCCAUUGUGUUUGUACUGCAUCUUCUUUACCCAGUCCUCUGCUGAUGGACAUUUAAGUUGUUUCCUUGUCUUGGCUAUGGGGAAUUGUGCUGCAAUGAACACUGGGGUGCAUGUAUCUUUUUGAGGUAUGGUUUCCUCUUUGCUAUGGGAAUUAUCAGUCUCUCACAUGCAAAUAUAUCUGGUGCCUUUCUUUAAGAGAACUUAUAUAUGUGUCCUUCCUCAUAAAGACGUGAGCUUCAGGCCCUAAACUGGAAAGCGCUGCUGCCGGGUGAAAGUGAAAUGGGGUGUUGGCAAUUGUAUGUGGCUUCUGGGCCCCACACACUGUCUAGUAUCACUCCUUGAUAUUUUGGCUUGGAAGACAAGUCAGAAAGAAUUACCUUAAGAUAAUAAUUAUAAUAGAAGUUUCUCUCUCUCUUCUUGAAAUGGAACAGGACCCUAUGGCCCUCUCCCCAUGUCCUCUGCCUGCCUUCUGUCUGUAGAAAAAAAUUUAGUCAAAGAAUAAGUUUAAUUAAAGAAGUGAGAAAAUAUGGGAGCAAAAGAAAACAGUCAAAUGAGACCAAGUCAUUCAGCAAAGUCAAGGACCUUUAGUUCCAUCUCAAGGGCUAUAAACACUAUUCUGAGCCACAUCCUAUGAGCUGUCUUGGAGAUACUGAGUCUCCCACCAGGUGGAAGAAAUAAACUACAUCCCGACCAGACUGCAGCUCAAGGAAAUGCUAACAAACCGACCCUGGAACUGAAGACUGACUAUACUUAAAACAGAGAAGAUGGCACUGGUCAGACCUCUGCACAGCAAAGUCCGAGGCGACUGUCAGAGCUGAUGGUGCUGUUUCUGCAUGUGCCCCUUCCCUGUGCCUAGAACAGCUCCUGCCCACUGAUUGUCAGUGGGGCAGGGGGGAGGGCAGAGGGAUUUGGCCUCUGGACAGGAGUCCGCCUUCCCCCAGUUGCUGCAUCCGAAGUAAAGCAAACUUUUCUUUCCAUCAACCAUGCCUGCUUAUUGGCUCUAGAGCAGUGAGCUCCCAGACCCCGUGUUUCCUGACAUUGGCUUAGCUCGACACAGGGGCCACCUGGCCAUCACCUUCUACUUGAGGAAGUAUGAAAAGUGAACAAUUGACACCUUUCUUCUUCACCUGCAGGAGCCGCAGGACGCCUCUGCAGGAUGCAGGAUGGAGAGCUUCAUCUGCAUUGGAAACAUGUUUUCAGAUUUCAGACGAAGAUUUCGGAUUCGGUGAGCACCAUGGUGCAAGGACCAUGGAAGCUCUCUGAAAGGUUUCAAUAGUAUUGGUUUAAAAUCCAAUGGAAGUACUGCUCUUUUCUUGUGCUUAACAAAAAACCCCCCAUAUUUCACAGUAAUGGCCUCACAAGCGUGAAAUACUGCCGCUCUUGAUUAAAUUCUGUAGCCUCUGAUUACAUAGACCUAUGGAAAUAUGGCCCCUCACCAGCUGGCAAUGGGCAGUUUGUUAAUACAGCUGCCUCUCUACCAUCUUCAGUGUACCCAGAGCCCUCUGUCAACUCAAAGCAGAUAAAUGAGGAACAGGCUGACGACCACAUAACACAGAGGUGUCAAGAAAUUCACCUACUUUGCUAAUUCUUCUUAUAUUUCUACUUUACCGAGGUCUUUGUCAUUAGGAGAGGCACCAGUUCUUUAAUUCACUUUUCAUUACAGACUCUUUUGCUCCACCUCAAACUCCCCACCUGGUCACAGGAUUCCUGUAUCCUUUCAGGAGAAGCUUUAGCUCUUGCUUUGUACAGAUUCCACGUGACCCAGAUCCAUUCGAAUUCCCCCCUUUAUUUGAAGCUCUAACCUGAACGGCUGUAAGAAAUAACUAUCACCAGGGCCAUAGGCAAGAUGUUACUUAAGGUACAGACCUUACGGUAUUAAUUUAUAAUCUUCAUACCCGCUCGUGCCCACAACUUAUCCAGUCGAAAUAUCUACUUAGCUGUACCUAUGAAAAGGGAACACGAGAGGUGAAAUUUAGUUCUCCCAGUUAUGCAGGACAUAUACACCUGUUCACGAAAGAAAAAAUUAGUUUGAUACCCUGUAAUGACAGAUGGCUUUGAAGUUCCUCGUGGAUCAUAAGACCCCCUGGUGCUGUCAGAUGCUUCUCCUUGGCCUUGUCCCUGAUCCUGGUUCAAUUUUUUAUUCAUCUGGCCGAUUUCUGCCUGGACCCAUUAAAUCAACACCUCACACGAGGUGGUAAGGAUGGAGCUGCUGCUACAAGGCCAGGCUGGCACCCAGGUUGUCCCCACCCCCAACUGGAUACGAGUCCCGAGGCCACAAGAUGCCCAACCCAGUCACGACCAAAAAUGCUGAGCACUUUCCUUGAGAGACUAAAGAAAGACGUAUUUGAAACCAGCCAUUACGAUGAAUACUGGGAGGUAAAGGACUUCCAGAUUGAAAGAAGAAACCAAAGGUGACUCAACCCAAAGCCGGGUCACCGGCUCUCUGCCUUUUUCACUUUUAAUCUGCACAUUCUGUUUAGUAGAAUCGAUUGAGAAUAGGCUGUAAAAUCCGUUGAUUUUGGAGAAAAGGGAGGGAAGAAUGAAAUCCCAUGUUUUGCCAUUUUCAUCCAUGAAAAGGACAUGGACUGCCCCCUCCCUUUCUGGUUCCCCCAUCCCAUCCCAUCUGGGGAAGGUUAUGGCCACACCCUCUGCCACCUAAGUCCCACCCUCAGCCCUUCUUUCUCCAAAGGAGACAAACGCAGCUUCCCAGGGUCCCGUGAGCCCUUCAUCUGAGAGCAUAGGGCCUGUUGCUAAUCAUCUGACAGAUGAAAAGACAGAUCACUGAGGUGAAUUUCCCACUUAACACCCAGCAAGCUUGUCUCCUGCAGGAAAUAAGCACGGGAGACUCCUCUUUGCAUCCUGGCCCCCAGGCCCUCCCCACCCUGACGGGUUGGCCAGCGAGUGUCCCCCGGGCCGCAUUUAGGCUAGGUCCCAAGGGGGAUGCAAAGGAAUCAGCCUGCAGGUGCAUGUGUCACGGGGAGGGGGAACAGAGGAAAGAAGGUGUGAGCCCUUAGGGAAAAGCUUUUCCAGGUCCUGAGGGGGCCACCUGGGAGAAAUGGGGUGGUUUUCCUACUGUUGGCGUUCCUGCUGUGGUGCAAUGGGAUCGUUCGGGUCUCUGCAGCGCCGGGACACAGGUUCUCUGCCCGGCCCAGCACAGCGGUUGAAGGAUCUGCCGUUGCCACUGUGGGGUAGGUCCCACCUGCAGUGCAGAUCGGAUCCCUGGCCAUGGGGUGGCCAAAAAAAGAAAAAGAAAGAAAGAAAAGAUAAUUAUUUCAAAGUGACGUGAUUUAUAAACUAUAAGAUAUCACAUCAACUUAUCAUUUGGUUAAUUAGUCAAACAGUGAAGCAAAAAGUAUAUGAAGUGAUAAGCGGCAAUGGAUUUGAACGUGCCUUUGAGGAAUGAGCUGGAAAGGAGAGAAUCAGGUGGGGGAUGCCCCACCUGCUCAGGGCAGCAUCUCAAUUCCCAGCUUCGCCGUCUUGCUCAAUGACAGAGCAGGGCUGGAGAGCAGACCUGCUGGCCCUGAGUGGUGCUCUCCUCCCGAGUCACCAAAAACUGAUGUGUCCCCUGCAGCCCGUCGAGAACCAGAGUGCCGCCUGGAGUCAGAGAGACAGACGGCGGAGAGAACCAGCACACACCCUCCACCAUCCAUGACUCUCUAAGCUGCACCCGGGGAGCCAAGAGGCGGCGGGGCGUGGGGGUGGGGGUGGGGGGGGCGCAGGUUCACAGUUUGUGCUAAACCGCCAUCCGUUCAUCAUUCCUAGAAAUCGCCGGGAAAACAAAAGAACGAAAUUGAUGAAAUAAAUAAAGAAGCCGAGUCCCCGGUAUUAGAGAGAUACAUCUUCAUA